AGGCAAAGGAGCUGGUAUCAGGCACAGAACUCUUGCCCAUGACCCCUAGUCUCACCACACCUCCAAAGGAGCUCAGCAGUGAUAAAAAUUGCUUAUAAGCGCCAGCUUGAAUCAGUUAAAGAAGAUAGAGCCGGCCAACCCGGUGCCAGCCGCCGCGGCUACACCGUAGGGCUCAAAUUGAUAGAAAUCGGCGUUAAGCGUGAUUAGGGGACAUAAAAUUAAAGUUAAACUCGAGCUUAGCUGUGAAAAGCUUGCUACUCAGAAACCCAUAGACGAAAGAUACUCUAAUUAUAUAACCUGAAUACACGACAACUUGGAAACAAACUGAGAUUAGAUACCUCACUAUG
RNAcentral lists this ribosomal RNA (347 nucleotides) under Gracixalus gracilipes. RNAcentral's name for it is "partial 12S ribosomal RNA". Lineage: Eukaryota; Metazoa; Chordata; Amphibia; Anura; Rhacophoridae. The record is from RNAcentral.